Aedes albopictus (Asian tiger mosquito) is the source of this 262-nucleotide long non-coding RNA. RefSeq lists it as uncharacterized. The transcript is spliced from 3 exons. NCBI's taxonomy places the organism in Eukaryota, Metazoa, Arthropoda, Insecta, Diptera, Culicidae. The record is from RefSeq and is a predicted model, not a curated record.
UAGCAUAAAACGCGAGCCAAAAAGCUAGAUUUUUAUAGCAAAAAGCCUCCCACGAUACAGUAGCUCGCAAAAAUUUCGCGACACAUGCACCGCAACGGGCGCCAUCUCGAAAACCAUGUACCUAGACUAUCCGAUGUAGAGCAUUACUAUACAUGUACAAGAGAACGUAACCUCUAAUCCUUGAAAAAGGUAAAAUAUAUUACCGAAACCGUCGGAUGUAGAGAGAAUAUCGUUCUCGCUGCCCUUUAAGACUGCAAAGGCC